GUGUUCCUACGGGACGCAGCAGUGAGGAAUAUUGGUCAAUGGGCGGGAGCCUGAACCAGCCAAGUCGCGUGAAGGAAGAAGGUACUUAGUAUUGUAAACUUCUUUUGUCGGGGAACAAAGGCGCCCACGGGUGGGCGGAUGAGUGUACCCGAAGAAAAAGCAUCGGCUAACUCCGUGCCAGCAGCCGCGGUAAUACGGAGGAUGCGAGCGUUAUCCGGAUUUAUUGGGUUUAAAGGGUGCGUAGGCGGACAGUCAAGUCAGCGGUAAAAAUGCGGUGCUCAACGCCGUACAGCCGUUGAAACUGG
This 305-nucleotide ribosomal RNA is filed under the name uncultured bacterium. RNAcentral describes it as "bacterial SSU rRNA". It matches the Rfam family "Bacterial small subunit ribosomal RNA", at positions 333 to 636 of the family's 1533-position model. The record is from RNAcentral.